CGACUGAAUUACAAGACUGACACUGAAAACUGCGCUCACAUAUACAGACACUUAACAAGAAAGAAAACAGUACAAAACUCCACGUCGAACAGAGCGUACACGUCCGCUCAAUUUGCCCUGAAGACGGUUGACGCAGAUCAACCGAAAUAUAUUGGACGAAAUCGAAAUAAAAGCUUUUUAUUUAUUUUGG
Non-coding RNA from Drosophila kikkawai, 190 nucleotides. The record is from RefSeq and is a predicted model, not a curated record. Lineage: Eukaryota; Metazoa; Arthropoda; Insecta; Diptera; Drosophilidae.